AUCCAGCUGACUAGUCUCAUAUAGGACGAAACGCGCGUCCUGGAU
Non-coding RNA from Schistosoma mansoni, 45 nucleotides. The record is from Rfam. NCBI's taxonomy places the organism in Eukaryota, Metazoa, Platyhelminthes, Trematoda, Strigeidida, Schistosomatidae.